This 515-nucleotide ribosomal RNA is filed under the name uncultured bacterium. Its description in RNAcentral is "partial 16S ribosomal RNA". It matches the Rfam family "Bacterial small subunit ribosomal RNA", at positions 28 to 523 of the family's 1533-position model. The record is from RNAcentral.
GAUGAACGCUGGCGGCGUGCCUAAUACAUGCAAGUCGAGCGAAUGGAUUAAGAGCUUGCUCUUAUGAAGUUAGCGGCGGACGGGUGAGUAACACGUGGGUAACCUGCCCAUAAGACUGGGAUAACUCCGGGAAACCGGGGCUAAUACCGGAUAACAUCUUGAACCGCAUGGUUCGAAAUUGAAAGGCGGCUUCGGCUGUCCCUUAUGGAUGGACCCGCGUCGCAUUAGCUAGUUGGGGAGGUAACGGCUCACCAAGGCAACGAUGCGUAGCCGACCUGAGAGGGUGAUCGGCCACACUGGGACUGAGACACGGCCCAGACUCCUACGGGAGGCAGCAGUAGGGAAUCUUCCGCAAUGGACGAAAGUCUGACGGAGCAACGCCGCGUGAGUGAUGAAGGCUUUCGGGUCAUAAAACUCUGUUGUUAGGGAAGAACAAGUGCUAGUUGAAUAAGCUGGCACCUUGACGGUACCUAACCAGAAAGCCACGGCUAACUACGUGCCAGCCGCCGCAGUAA